Molecule: unclassified non-coding RNA, 259 nt
Filed under: uncultured Actinomycetes bacterium
Lineage: Bacteria; Bacillati; Actinomycetota; Actinomycetes
Description: uncultured actinobacterium contains 16S-23S intergenic spacer region
Source: RNAcentral
UCACUGCUUGCGCAGGCAGUCUCGCUAGAGUCCCCGGCAUUAUCCGCUGGUAACUAGCAUGUCAAGCCUAGGUAAGGUUCUUCGCGUUGCAUCGAAUUAAGCCACAUGCUCCGCCGCUUGUGCGGGCCCCCGUCAAUUCCUUUGAGUUUUAGCCUUGCGGCCGUACUCCCCAGGCGGGGUGCUUAAUGCGUUAGCUUCGGCACGGAGAGGGUUGAAGACCUCCCCACACCUAGCACCCAACGUUUACGGCUGGGACUAC